RNAcentral lists this ribosomal RNA (497 nucleotides) under uncultured bacterium. Its description in RNAcentral is "partial 16S ribosomal RNA". It matches the Rfam family "Bacterial small subunit ribosomal RNA", at positions 28 to 507 of the family's 1533-position model. The record is from RNAcentral.
GAUGAACGCUGGCGGCGUGCCUAAUACAUGCAAGUCGAGCGAACAGACGAGGAGCUUGCUCCUCUGACGUUAGCGGCGGACGGGUGAGUAACACGUGGAUAACCUACCUAUAAGAUUGGGAUAACUUCGGGAAACCGGAGCUAAUACCGGAUAAUAUAUUGAACCGCAUGGUUCAAUAGUGAAAGACGGUUUUGCUGUCACUUAUAGAUGGAUCCGCGCCGCAUUAGCUAGUUGGUAAGGUAACGGCUUACCAAGGCGACGAUGCGUAGCCGACCUGAGAGGGUGAUCGGCCACACUGGAACUGAGACACGGUCCAGACUCCUACGGGAGGCAGCAGUAGGGAAUCUUCCGCAAUGGGCGAAAGCUUGACGGAGCAACGCCGCGUGAGUGAUGAAGGUCUUCGGAUCGUAAAACUCUGUUAUUAGGGAAGAACAAAUGUGUAAGUAACUAUGCACGUCUUGACGGUACCUAAUCAGAAAGCCACGGCUAACUACGUG